This 497-nucleotide ribosomal RNA is filed under the name uncultured bacterium. RNAcentral's name for it is "partial 16S ribosomal RNA". It matches the Rfam family "Bacterial small subunit ribosomal RNA", at positions 28 to 507 of the family's 1533-position model. The record is from RNAcentral.
GAUGAACGCUGGCGGCGUGCCUAAUACAUGCAAGUCGAGCGAACAGAUGAGGAGCUUGCUCUUCUGACGUUAGCGGCGGACGGGUGAGUAACACGUGGAUAACCCACCUAUAAGACUGGGAUAACUUCGGGAAACCGUAGCUAAUACCGGAUAAUAUACUGAACCGCAUGGUUCAAUAGUGAAAGACGGUUUUGCUGUCACUUAUAGAUGGAUCCGCGCCGCAUUAGCUAGUUGGUAAGGUAACGGCUUACCAAGGCAACGAUGCGUAGCCGACCUGAGAGGCGGAUAGGCCACACUGGAGCUGAGACGCGCUCCAGGCUCCUACGGGAGGCAGCAGAAGGGAAUCUUCGGCAGUGGGCGGAAGCCUGGCGGAGCGGCGCCGCGUGAGUGAUAGAGGUCUUCGGAUCGUAAAACUCUGUUAUUGGGGAAAAACAAAUGUGUAAGUAACUAUGCACGUCUUGACGGUACCUGAUCAGAAAGCCACGGCUAACUACGUG